GUUUGAGGAUCGAAGCACUAAAUUGAAUCAAACUAGCUUAAGUUUAGCGUGUCUGUCCGCAUGCUUAAGUGAAAUUAAAGACGAGACUAAACGUGUAGUGCUGAAGGUAGAGUAAUUUCGGACGCGGGUUCAACUCCCGCCAGCUCCACCA
Molecule: transfer-messenger RNA, 151 nt
Filed under: Parahaemophilus parainfluenzae
Lineage: Bacteria; Pseudomonadati; Pseudomonadota; Gammaproteobacteria; Pasteurellales; Pasteurellaceae
Description: Haemophilus parainfluenzae partial transfer-messenger RNA
Rfam family: transfer-messenger RNA
About the family: Bacterial tmRNA, also known as 10Sa RNA or SsrA, is named for its dual tRNA and mRNA-like properties. Its role is to liberate the mRNA from a stalled ribosome.
Source: RNAcentral